GGGGUCGUAGUGUAGCUUGGCAGCACUCAAGGCUGGGGGUCUUGCGACCGGGGUUCAAAUCCUCGCGGCCCCA
This 73-nucleotide transfer RNA is filed under the name Candidatus Woesearchaeota archaeon. RNAcentral's name for it is "tRNA-Pro". It matches the Rfam family "tRNA". Rfam says of the family: Transfer RNA (tRNA) molecules are approximately 80 nucleotides in length. Their secondary structure includes four short double-helical elements and three loops (D, anti-codon, and T loops). Further hydrogen bonds mediate the characteristic L-shaped molecular structure. tRNAs have two regions of fundamental functional importance: the anti-codon, which is responsible for specific mRNA codon recognition, and the 3' end, to which the tRNAs corresponding amino acid is attached (by aminoacyl-tRNA synthetases). tRNAs cope with the degeneracy of the genetic code in two manners: having more than one tRNA (with a specific anti-codon) for a particular amino acid; and 'wobble' base-pairing, i.e. permitting non-standard base-pairing at the 3rd anti-codon position. Lineage: Archaea; Nanobdellati; Candidatus Woesearchaeota. The record is from RNAcentral.